This 404-nucleotide unclassified non-coding RNA is filed under the name soil metagenome. RNAcentral's name for it is "partial contains 5.8S ribosomal RNA, internal transcribed spacer 2, and large subunit ribosomal RNA". The stretch from base 1 to 122 matches the Rfam family "5.8S ribosomal RNA", at positions 35 to 154 of the family's 154-position model. The record is from RNAcentral.
GAUGAAGAACGUAGCAAAAUGCGAUACUUGGUGUGAAUUGCAGAAUCCCGUGAACCAUCGAGUUUUUGAACGCAAGUUGCGCCCGAAGCCUUUUGGCCGAGGGCACGUCUGCCUGGGCGUCACGCAUCGCGUCGCCCCCCACAAUUCUCCGUAAAGGGAGCAUGUGUUUUGGGGGCGGAUAUUGGUCUCCCGUGCUCAUGGCGUGGUUGGCCGAAAUAGGAGUCCUUUCGAUGGACGCACGAACUAGUGGUGGUCGUAAAAACCCUCGUCUUUUGUUUCGUGCUGUUGCUCGCAAGGUAAACUCUUUAAAAACCCCAAUGUGUCGUCUCUUGACGACGCUUCGACCGCGACCCCAGGUCAGGCGGGACUACCCGCUGAGUUUAAGCAUAUCAAUAAGCGGAGGA